GACUAACACUGGGCUGUUUAACACCUCAGACUCAGCAGCUGUAGAUUCUUCAGUUGAGGCCUUUUCUCAGUGAGAGUAGAGGAGACUGGGGAACAGACUAACACUGGGCUGUUUAACACCUCAGACUCAGCAGCUGUAGAUUCUUCAGUUGAGGCCUUUUCUCAGUAAGAGUAGAUGAGACUGGGGAACAGACUAACACUUUUAGACUCUAGUUUAUUAUGAAAAUAUUAUUUAAGUUAAAAUAAUUAAGAAUUAAAUUAAUUCUCUGCCCCCCUAUUAUACAACAGAAAUGUUUAUUUGUGUAUUUAUACUACCACGGUACCCAACCCUCUGAUAUGUGUAUUUAUACUACCACAAUACCCUCUGAAAUGUGUAUUUAUACUACCACAGUACCCUCUGAUUUGUGUAUUUAUACUACCACAGUACCCUCUGAUAUGUGUAUUUAUACUACCACAGUACCCUCUGAUUUGUGUAUUUAUACUACCACAGUACCCUCUGAUAUGUGUAUUUAUACUACCACAGUACCCUCUGAUGUGUGUAUUUAUACUACCACAGUACCCAACCCUCUUAUAUGUGUAUUUAUACUACAACAGUACCCUCUGAUAUGUGUAUUUAUACUACCACAGUACCCUCUGAUAUGUGUAUUUAUACUACCACAGUACCCUCUGAUAUGUGUAUUUAUACUACCACAGUACCCUCUGAUAUGUGUAUUUAUACUACCACAGUACCCUCUGAUUUGUGUAUUUAUACUACCACAGUACCCUCUGAUAUGUGUAUUUAUACUACCACAGUACCCUCUGAUUUGUGUAUUUAUACUACCACAGUACCCUCUGAUAUGUGUAUUUAUACUACCACAGUACCCUCUGAUAUGUGUAUUUAUACUACCACAGUACCCUCUAUGUGUAUGUAUACUACCACAGUACCCUCUGAUGUGUAUUUAUACUACCACAGUACCCUCUAUUGUGUGUAUUUAUACUACCACAGUACCCUCUGAUAUGUGUAUUCAUACUACCACAGUACCCUCUGAUAUGUGUGUUUAUACUACCACAGUGCACAACCCUCUUAUGUGUGUUUAUACUACCACAGUACCCUCUGAUAUGUGUAUUUUUACUACCACAGUACCCACCCCUCUGAUAUGUGUAUUUAUACUACCACAGUACCCAACCCUCUGAUAUGUGUAUUUAUACUACCACAGUACCCUCUGAUAUGUGUAUUCAUACUACCACAGUACCCUCUGAUAUGUGUGUUUAUACUACCACAGUGCACAACCCUCUUAUAUGUGUGUUUAUACUACCACAGUACCCUCUGAAAUGUGUAUUUAUACUACCACAGUACCCUCUGAUGUGUGUAUUUAUACUACCACAGUACCCAACCCUCUGAUAUGUGUAUUUAUACUACCACAGUACCCAACCCUCUGAUAUGUGUAUUUAUACUACCACAGUACCAACCCUCUUAUAUGUGUAUUUAUACUACCACAGUACCCUCUGAUAUGUGUAUUUAUACUACCACAGUACCCUCUGAUAUGUGUAUUUAUACUACCACAGUACCCUCUGAUAUGUGUAUUUAUACUACCACGGUACCCAACCCUCUGAUAUGUGUAUUUAUACUACCACAGUAGCCUCUGAUAUGUGUAUUUAUACUACCACAGUACCCACCCCUCUGAUAUGUGUAUUUAUACUACCACAGUACCCACCCCUCUGAUAUGUGUAUUUAUACUACCACAGUACGUUCUGAUAUGUGUAUUUAUACUACCACAGUACCCAACCAGGAGCCUCCUACAGAGCUCACAGUUCAUCACUGUCCUUUCCCUGGUGGGGAGAAGACCAGAAGAGGGUGAUGUCCUUCCUGUCUCCAAGUUCUGCCUCAAAAUGUGCUGGGGUGAGUUUUUACAUAAUAAAUGAGAAGAUUAGAAAUGGUAUUUUAAUAUUUUAUUCUCUCAUGAUGUAUCAAUGUCUCAGGAUGCCACUGGGUAAACAUUAUCUAACUGAAUGAUGAACCUUUCUGUGAUGACAUGUGGAAGAAGAUAGCCUGUCUGGUAUAAUUAUUGGUCAAGACUGGACAAGGAGGGUUGGAUAAACUCCUCUGUAUGUGGAACAGGUGUGACUAUUUAUCAGGUGUAACAAUCAAACCUCCCUAUUGGCUGUGUGUUCCACAUUCUAAAGUAGAACCAUAAUUUUACUUGCUGAAAUAUUGUCCAGAAAUGACCUCAUUGGACAGAAAGGGGAACUCCUCCCACACGCAUGUUGAACAAAUAUAAUGUUUCCCUGAAACAAAGUAUUCCUGUAGUUUAAUGAAAUAUGAAACUAAUUCAUAGUAUAUCAUACAUCAUGCAAGCCAACAUUCAAGGCAACACUUUUACGUAAACAAUUAGCAAAUUAACGUCCACACCUUGAAAUCACAACAACAGGUUAUUUUACAGGAAGUAAAAUUAUGUGACCUGCUUCAGCUGUUUAAGAAAUUAAAAAUAUUUUACUAAAGUGAAGCAGUCAUUUUAAAUAUUAUACAUGCAGGUAGGGUAGACUGGGGAACAAAGUAACACAGGGGCAGUUGUAACAGAUAAAUAACGCCAAUUAGAAACCAGGUAGAAAGCUCUUAUUCAAUGUGAUAAUGGUUGGUUAGUUUCUCUACAUGACCAACAGGUUUUGUUUAAAUCCAUUGAUGACUUUUAGUUUUAUUGAAGGAAAAAAUCUAUUUGAGGUCCAAAAGUAAAUAUACUUGCCUCCUGUCUUUUAAUUACAUGAUUGACCUGUGGAACAUUCACCUACUGGGUCAAUUGUAACAUUUAAUUCCCACCACUUGGUUGAAUUGUAAAUGACUGGUACGUCCUAGGAACAUAUUUACUGUGUAAUGGUAGCUCAGAUAUGUUAUUUACAUAAAAAUAUGAUUAAUUUAACUUAAAUAAUAUUUUCAUAAUAAACUAGAGUCUAAAAGUGUUAGUCUGUUCCCCAGUCUCCUCUACUCUCACUGAGAAAAGGCCUCAACUGAAGAAUCUACAGCUGCUGAGUCUGAGGUGUUAAACAGCCCAGUGUUAGUCUGUUCCCCAGUCUCCUCUACUCUUACUGAGAAAAGGCCUCAACUGAAGAAUCUACAGCUGCUGAGUCUGAGGUGUUAACCAGCCCAGUGUUAGUCUGUUCCCCAGUCUCCUCUACUCUCACUGAGAAAAGGCCUCAACUGAAGAAUCUACAGCUGCUGAGUCUGAGGUGUUAAACAGCCCAGUGUUAGUCUGUUCCCCAGUCUCCUCUACUCUCACUGAGAAAAGGCCUCAACUGAAGAAUCUACAGCUGCUGAGUCUGAGGUGUUAAACAGCCCAGUGUUAGUCUGUUCCCCAGUCUCCUCUACUCUCACUGAGAAAAGGCCUCAACUGAAGAAUCUACAGCUGCUGAGUCUGAGGUGUUAAACAGCCCAGUGUUAGUCUGUUCCCCAGUCUCCUCUACUCUCACUGAGAAAAGGCCUCAACUGAAGAAUCUACAGCUGCUGAGUCUGAGGUGUUAAACAGCCCAGUGUUAGUCUGUUCCCCAGUCUCCUCUACUCUCACUGAGAAAAGGCCUCAACUGAAGAAUCUACAGCUGCUGAGUCUGAGGUGUUAAACAGCCCAGUGUUAGUCUGUUCCCCAGUCUCCUCUACUCUCACUGAGAAAAGGCCUCAACUGAAGAAUCUACAGCUGCUGAGUCUGAGGUGUUAAACAGCCCAGUGUUAGUCUGUUCCCCAGUCUCCUCUACUCUCACUGAGAAAAGGCCUCAACUGAAGAAUCUACAGCUGCUGAGUCUGAGGUGUUAAACAGCCCAGUGUUAGUCUGUUCCCCAGUCUCCUCUACUCUCACUGAGAAAAGGCCUCAACUGAAGAAUCUACAGCUGCUGAGUCUGAGGUGUUAAACAGCCCAGUGUUAGUCUGUUCCCCAGUCUCCUCUACUCUCACUGAGAAAAGGCCUCAACUGAAGAAUCUACAGCUGCUGAGUCUGAGGUGUUAAACAGCCCAGUGUUAGUCUGUUCCCCAGUCUCCUCUACUCUCACUGAGAAAAGGCCUCAACUGAAGAAUCUACAGCUGCUGAGUCUGAGGUGUUAAACAGCCCAGUGUUAGUCUGUUCCCCAGUCUCCUCUACUCUCACUGAGAAAAGGCCUCAACUGAAGAAUCUACAGCUGCUGAGUCUGAGGUGUUAAACAGCCCAGUGUUAGUCUGUUCCCCAGUCUCCUCUACUCUCACUGAGAAAAGGCCUCAACUGAAGAAUCUACAGCUGCUGAGUCUGAGGUGUUAAACAGCCCAGUGUUAGUCUGUUCCCCAGUCUCAUCUACUCUCACUGAGAAAAGGCCUCAACUGAAGAAUCUACAGCUGCUGAGUCUGAGGUGUUAAACAGCCCAGUGUUAGUCUGUUCCCCAGUCUCCUCUACUCUCACUGAGAAAAGGCCUCAACUGAAGAAUCUACAGCUGCUGAGUCUGAGGUGUUAAACAGCCCAGUGUUAGUCUGUUCCCCAGUCUCCUCUACUCUCACUGAGAAAAGGCCUCAACUGAAGAAUCUACAGCUGCUGAGUCUGAGGUGUUAAACAGCCCAGUGUUAGUCUGUUCCCCAGUCUCCUCUACUCUCACUGAGAAAAGGCCUCAACUGAAGAAUCUACAGCUGCUGAGUCUGAGGUGUUAAACAGCCCAGUGUUAGUCUGUUCCCCAGUCUCCUCUACUCUCACUGAGAAAAGGCCUCAACUGAAGAAUCUACAGCUGCUGAGUCUGAGGUGUUAAACAGCCCAGUGUUAGUCUGUUCCCCAGUCUCCUCUACUCUCACUGAGAAAAGGCCUCAACUGAAGAAUCUACAGCUGCUGAGUCUGAGGUGUUAACCAGCCCAGUGUUAGUCUGUUCCCCAGUCUCCUCUACUCUCACUGAGAAAAGGCCUCAACUGAAGAAUCUACAGCUGCUGAGUCUGAGGUGUUAAACAGCCCAGUGUUAGUCUGUUCCCCAGUCUCCUCUACUCUCACUGAGAAAAGGCCUCAACUGAAGAAUCUACAGCUGCUGAGUCUGAGGUGUUAAACAGCCCAGUGUUAGUCUGUUCCCCAGUCUCCUCUACUCUCACUGAGAAAAGGCCUCAACUGAAGAAUCUACAGCUGCUGAGUCUGAGGUGUUAAACAGCCCAGUGUUAGUCUGU
Oncorhynchus kisutch (coho salmon) is the source of this 5127-nucleotide long non-coding RNA. Lineage: Eukaryota; Metazoa; Chordata; Actinopteri; Salmoniformes; Salmonidae. The record is from Ensembl.